GCUGGGCGCUGUGGCGGGCGCCUGUAAUCCCAGUUACUCUGGAGGCUGAGGCAGGAGAAUCAUUUGAACCCAGGCAGUGGAGGUUGCAGUGAGAACCACUGCACUCCAGCCUGGGCAACAGAGUGAGACUCUGUCUCCA
Unclassified non-coding RNA from Macaca fascicularis (crab-eating macaque), 139 nucleotides. It matches the Rfam family "Metazoan signal recognition particle RNA". From Rfam's summary of the family: The signal recognition particle (SRP) is a universally conserved ribonucleoprotein. It is involved in the co-translational targeting of proteins to membranes. Lineage: Eukaryota; Metazoa; Chordata; Mammalia; Primates; Cercopithecidae. The record is from Ensembl.